AGGUGUGUGGGGGGCUGGAGCGGCGGUAAGGUGGAGGGGGGGGGGGUUGGCCGGAAUGAGUGGGCGUACAGGCUGCGUGGGUGGCUAGGUAAGCGUGGGGUGAAGGCCCGUGGGUCAACCCCGGGUCUGCCGUGCGAACUGUGUGGCUUGAGCAUAGUAGAGGCAGGUGGAAUUCCGGGUGUAGCGGUGGAAUGCGUAGAGAUCCGGAAGAACACCGGUGGCGAAGGCGGCCUGCUGGGCUAUUGCUGACACUGAGGCGCGACAGCGUGGGGAGCAAACAGGAUUAGAUACCCCAUAGUC
This 300-nucleotide ribosomal RNA is filed under the name uncultured Costertonia sp. Its description in RNAcentral is "partial 16S ribosomal RNA". The stretch from base 53 to 300 matches the Rfam family "Bacterial small subunit ribosomal RNA", at positions 547 to 795 of the family's 1533-position model. Lineage: Bacteria; Pseudomonadati; Bacteroidota; Flavobacteriia; Flavobacteriales; Flavobacteriaceae. The record is from RNAcentral.